This 863-nucleotide long non-coding RNA is filed under the name Panax ginseng (ginseng). Its description in RNAcentral is "long non-coding RNA (PGIN_LNC015472)". The record is from RNAcentral. Lineage: Eukaryota; Viridiplantae; Streptophyta; Magnoliopsida; Apiales; Araliaceae.
AAAAACUCAAAUAUUAUUAACUUAAUAAAAUCAUCCACUACAUAAUCAUUCAUUAUCUUUACAAUUAACCAUCUAAAGCUACCAGUUCUUCAAUCAUAGUAUAUAUCUACAUAUAUAGAGAGAGUACACUUCAUAAUUUCAUCCCUUGUCUUCUGUAAACGUAGCACAAAAAUUUGAUACCCAAUAUUGUAAGGCAGGUCGUAGAAGCAGUCUUCCUGCACAUAUGCACCAGAUUAUGCACUAGAUAAAUUAAACUUUACAUUAGAAGUCAAUUACAUGUUUAAUCAAUGUAUGUUUAAAUGUGUCUGGACAAUGUUUAACUAAAUCAGACAAACGCUUCCCAAUAGUGAAGACAGUAACUAUACUGCUUCUUGCUUUUGACAUUAAAGGAAGUCCCCAGGAAUCUAAUAGUCCCUCUCUAUUAUACUGUCCAAACUAAGCAUCCACUUUCAUCAUUCUUUUUCCCUACUUAAAUUAUUACUCAUUUACUAUAACAACUACACAGUAGUAGCAGCCAUAACUGUGUUUUCUGAACAUGCAAACAAAAAUUGUGAAGCUAUUACAUUUGCAUUACAAGUCUCCUUAUAAAUGAUAAAGACCCAUAGAGACAUGUAAUUCAAGCACAUUGUUAUAUUUACCUGUUCACCAACAACAUUCAAAAUAGGUACAAGGUUGACAUGUAUCAAGCAAAAAUUGCCAGCACCUGAAAUGGGAUAUUGAUGCACAAAAUUAGUUGCAAUAUGAGAUUACCUUAGCUUUCUUUUAACCUGAAAUAUAAAGUGAGCUAAGUCACAUGCAUAAUUUACCAACAUGGUAAGAGAAUUGUCCAAGAGCCUCGAUAAAUGGCAUUGAUUCAAUGUCCC